UGAUGCUUGUAUUAGAUCAUCCAAUAUAUUGUGUAGAUUUUAACUGCUCUUGCAAAAGGAAGAAAGAGAGCUUGACAGAAUUUUCCGUUUGUAGGGUCAACCUGUUGCGCUGAAAGCUUUAUUGUCAGAGGAGAAGGCUGUACUUAAAGCCGGUUAUGAGAAAGUGCUUGAAUCGUUGCACACGAAGGUGAAAAAGGCUAAUUCAAUUUGUUCUGCAUCUUCAUGUGUCUUGACAACAAUAUCUGCUUGCCCAGCCACUCCCCAAUCCCCGCC
Molecule: long non-coding RNA, 273 nt
Filed under: Solanum tuberosum (potato)
Lineage: Eukaryota; Viridiplantae; Streptophyta; Magnoliopsida; Solanales; Solanaceae
Description: long non-coding RNA (STUB_LNC006724)
Source: RNAcentral